GAUGAACGCUGGCGGCGUGCCUAAUACAUGCAAGUCGAGCGAACGGACGAGAAGCUUGCUUCUCUGAUGUUAGCGGCGGACGGGUGAGUAACACGUGGAUAACCUACCUAUAAGACUGGGAUAACUUCGGGAAACCGUAGCUAAUACCGGAUAAUAUUUUGAACCGCAUGGUUCAAAAGUGAAAGACGGUCUUGCUGUCACUUAUAGAUGGAUCCGCGCUGCAUUAGCUAGUUGGUAAGGUAACGGCUUACCAAGGCAACGAUGCAUAGCCGACCUGAGAGGGUGAUCGGCCACACUGGAACUGAGACACGGUCCAGACUCCUACGGGAGGCAGCAGUAGGGAAUCUUCCGCAAUGGGCGAAAGCCUGACGGAGCAACGCCGCGUGAGUGAUGAAGGUCUUCGGAUCGUAAAACUCUGUUAUUAGGGAAGAACAUAUGUGUAAGUAACUGUGCACAUCUUGACGGUACCUAAUCAGAAAGCCACGGCUAACUACGUGCCAGCAGCCGCGGUAAUACGUAGGUGGCAAGCGUUAUCCGGAAUUAUUGGGCGUAAAGCGCGCGUAGGCGGUUUUUUAAGUCUGAUGUGAAAGCCCACGGCUCAACCGUGGAGGGUCAUUGGAAACUGGAAAACUUGAGUGCAGAAGAGGAAAGUGGAAUUCCAUGUGUAGCGGCGAAAUGCGCAGAGAUAUGGAGGAACACCAGUGGCGAAGGCGACUUUCUGGUCUGUAACUGACGCUGACGUGCGAAAGCGUGGGGAUCAAACAGGAUUAGAUACCCUGGUAGUCCACGCCGUAAACGAUGAGUGCUAAGUGUUAGGGGGUUUCCGCCCCUUAGUGCUGCAGCUAACGCAUUAAGCACUCCGCCUGGGGAGUACGACCGCAAGGUUGAAGCUCAAAGGAAUUGACGGGGACCCGCACAAGCGGUGGAGCAUGUGGUUUAAUUCGAAGCAACGCGAAGAACCUUACCAAAUCUUGACAUCCUUUGACAACUCUAGAGAUAGAGCCUUCCCCUUCGGGGGACAAAGUGACAGGUGGUGCAUGGUUGUCGUCAGCUCGUGUCGUGAGAUGUUGGGUUAAGUCCCGCAACGAGCGCAACCCUUAAGCUUAGUUGCCAUCAUUAAGUUGGGCACUCUAAGUUGACUGCCGGUGACAAACCGGAGGAAGGUGGGGAUGACGUCAAAUCAUCAUGCCCCUUAUGAUUUGGGCUACACACGUGCUACAAUGGACAAUACAAAGGGCAGCGAAACCGCGAGGUCAAGCAAAUCCCAUAAAGUUGUUCUCAGUUCGGAUUGUAGUCUGCAACUCGACUACAUGAAGCUGGAAUCGCUAGUAAUCGUAGAUCAGCAUGCUACGGUGAAUACGUUCCCGGGUCU
This 1372-nucleotide ribosomal RNA is filed under the name uncultured bacterium. RNAcentral's name for it is "bacterial SSU rRNA". It matches the Rfam family "Bacterial small subunit ribosomal RNA", at positions 28 to 1381 of the family's 1533-position model. The record is from RNAcentral.